RNAcentral lists this non-coding RNA (24 nucleotides) under Mus musculus (house mouse). Lineage: Eukaryota; Metazoa; Chordata; Mammalia; Rodentia; Muridae. The record is from RNAcentral.
UGUCAGUAGUGGUGCUGGUGGCUA